This 1517-nucleotide long non-coding RNA is filed under the name Oryctolagus cuniculus (rabbit). RNAcentral's name for it is "lncRNA (ENSOCUG00000029951.1)". The record is from RNAcentral. Lineage: Eukaryota; Metazoa; Chordata; Mammalia; Lagomorpha; Leporidae.
CAGGAGCCAGGAGCUUCUUCUGGGUCUCCCACGUGGGUGCAGGGGGCCCAAGGACUUGGGGCAUCUUUUACUGCUUUCCUAGGCCAUAGCAGGGAGCUGGAUCGGAAAUGGAGCAGCCGGGACUCGAACUGGCACCCAUAUGGGAUGCCCACACUGCAGGCAGCAGCUUUACCCACUACACCACAGUGCCGGCCCCAAAACACGUUUUAUUCAUCGUCCUCCGCCUCAUCGCUGUUGAGUGCCUGGUGCACCCCAUGGCCCGGCAAAUACUUCUACCUAAAUUACCAACGUCUCCACCUCCUCCUGAAACCUUCUGGAUCACUCUUCCAGGAACUUCCAGGAGCCAUGAUGGCUACCACUCAAUUGGCCCCUCCUAGGGCAUCAGACCUGACAUUUCUUGAGAAUGGAGACCUCAUUUCCCUGCUACUCCCGACAAGCCCCUGCUCCCAGUGGGCCCAGCACCAGUGCUUAGAGCUGGAGACCCUUGGAAGGAUACAGAAGGAAGGAGGAAAGCAUUGGGGAAGAGCCUCACUAGGGUUUCUUACUGUGGUCGGAGGUCAGAGGAACUCGGAGUGGGGACCUGGAAUCUGCCACAGACCCUGGGGACACUGCGUUUGCCAGAGGGGAGAGCGGCCUGAGAAGAAGAGAAGCAAGAGCCAUUGAAGGUGCUGCAGGCACAAAAGGUCAGCAUCUGUGGGACCCGGGCUGGGCAAAACCCAACCUUGGGACAGGCGUUCCGUGCAGCAGUGAGGAUGCCGCUGGACACUCCCGUGCCGUAUCAGAACCCUGGGCUCAUGUACUGGCCCCACCGCCAAUCCCGGCUUCCUGCUCCAGCACAUGCUGGGAGGGAGAAGUUGAAGGCUCGGUUACUUGGGUCCCUUCCACAUCCUGGAUUGAGUUCCGGGCUCUGGGCUUUGGCUUGGCCCAGCCCCUGAUUAUUGUGGACAUUUGAGGAGUGAAUCAACUGAUGGAUGAUCUCUCUUUUUAAGCCAGUCCCAAAGGGACAAAUAUCCUAUGCCCCUGAUCGGUGACAACUAACCAAGCACCAAAAAGGAAACCUGUUGAAGUGAAAUGGGCACUAUGAGAAACAGUGACUUGAUCAGCCCUUGUCCUGACUGUUGAUGUACAAUUUAAUACUUUAUCCCUUUUAGUAUUUUUUUUGUUCUGGUUAAUACUAUUGGUUGAGCUCUGUGGUUAACACACAAUUAUUCUUGGGUGUUUGGAUUUCGCUGAAGAGUGAUCCCUGUUCGAUAUAAGAAUGGGAAAAGGAGAGAGAAGAGAUGUACAAUUCAGGACAUGCUCAAUCGGACUUGCCCCAAAUGGUGGAGUUAGAAAUGUGCCAGGGGAUUCCAAUACAAUCCCAUCAAGGUUGCGUGUACCAAUCUCACUAGUCCAAGUGAUCAAUUUCUGUUCACAAUUGAUCACACUGAUAGGUCUAAGAGUCAAAGGGAUCACACAAACAAGACUAGUGUCUGCUAAUACUAACCGAUAGAAUAAAAAAGGGAGAGAACAAACCA